RNAcentral lists this ribosomal RNA (443 nucleotides) under uncultured bacterium. RNAcentral's name for it is "partial 16S ribosomal RNA". It matches the Rfam family "Bacterial small subunit ribosomal RNA", at positions 338 to 795 of the family's 1533-position model. The record is from RNAcentral.
CCUACGGGAGGCAGCAGUGGGGAAUAUUGGGCAAUGGAGGCAACUCUGACCCAGCAACGCCGCGUGAAUGAUGAAGGUCUUCGGAUUGUAAAGUUCUUUUCUUAGGGAAGCAGAAAGUGACGGUACUUCACGAAUAAGCCUCGGCUAACUACGUGCCAGCAGCCGCGGGAAUACGUAGGCGGCAAGAGUUAGCCGGAAGGACUGGGCGUAAAGGGUGCGUAGGUGGGUUGACAAGUUAGUAGGGUAAUGCCGGGGCUUAACUUCGGAACUGCUACAACCACUGUUGGACUGGAGUGCAGGAGAGGCAACUGGAAUGUCUGGUGUAGCGGUGGAAUGCGUAGAUAUUAGGAAGAACACCGGUGGCGAAGGCGAGUUGCUGGACUGUAACUGACGCUGAGGCACGAAAGCGUGGGGAGCAAACAGGAUUAGAGACCCCAGUAGUC